CCCUUAGAUGUUCUGGGCCGCACGCGCGCUACACUGACGAAUGCAACGAGCUUAUAACCUUGGCCGAAAGGUCUGGGUAAUCUCCAAAUUUCGUCGUGAUGGGGAUAGAUUAUUGCAAUUAUUAAUCUUCAACGAGGAAUGCCUAGUAAGCGCAAGUCAUCAGCUUGCGUUGAUUACUUCCCUGCCCUUUGUACACACCGCCCGUCGCUCCUACCGAUUGAAUGGUCCGGUGAAGCGUUCGGACCGUGGCCUUUGGACGGUUCGCCGUCUGUUGGCUGCGGGAAGUUCGUUAAACCUUAUCAUUUAGAGGAAGGAGAAGUCGUAACA
RNAcentral lists this ribosomal RNA (327 nucleotides) under uncultured eukaryote. RNAcentral's name for it is "partial 18S ribosomal RNA". It matches the Rfam family "Eukaryotic small subunit ribosomal RNA", at positions 1470 to 1796 of the family's 1831-position model. The record is from RNAcentral.